This 831-nucleotide long non-coding RNA is filed under the name Olea europaea (common olive). RNAcentral describes it as "long non-coding RNA (OEUR_LNC006018)". The record is from RNAcentral. Lineage: Eukaryota; Viridiplantae; Streptophyta; Magnoliopsida; Lamiales; Oleaceae.
AUUGGAUAAGAAAACGAGCUUAAAAAAUGGAAACAAUAUAACCUUAAAUAAUACUGCCCGCUUGAGUGGCAGGUGGCCCCAGUCUAGCACCUCGAAUGGCAUCUAGGCGCCCAAAUUGGUGCUCCAAAGACUCCAAUGUCCUACUAUAAUCCCUCUAAUACUAUUCUUUAAACAGUCCACCAAAACUCAACGGAACUCGGGCCAAACUUCGAUAGUAUGAUUGGUAACAAAUCAUGGUUAUCCUUGGUGAUAGGUUUAGGAAUAAUGCUAUACGUACAGGAAUGAGAUUCACAGGCUUCUUACAAGCAUUUUUUAUUUGCUUGAAAUUGGUAACAUGGCCACCACUUUAACUUCAAAAAAAAAAUGACAGUGAAGCUCUAGCCGAACCCCACUACGACUCAAUCCAUCUUCAGUGGAACCUUUCAGCCCGUCACUGAGCUUCUUUCUUUGAUGCCUUUCAGCCAUCAAAUUCAUCACUAGAAGUCUCUUCUUCUAACCUUGUGGUCUCCUCCACUAUUGCAGGCGACAAUGCUAUUAGCAUUCGAGCUACUUCUGCCAUUUUUAUCACUCUCUCGCACCUUUUUGAUAAUACUAUUCUCCAGAAAUUGAUCAGAGUCAUUUGUGAAUCUUUUGAUCCAAUUGAAACAAAUCCAUCAAGAAGUUUCAAAAUCUUAUACCUAUUAACAAACAAUGGAUUCUCAUUCAUGGAACGCUUCCCAAAUCCCAUUACUCCAAAAUUCCCACGGGAUUGAGGCAGUUUGUUGAAAAGUGAGAUUAGAGCUCCAAUUAAGAUUGCCCAUUUGGGAUUGAGUACUUGAAUCACUAUAACCA